AGCAGCCGCGGUAAUUCCAGCUCCAAUAGCGUAUAUUAAAGUUGUUGCAGUUAAAAAGCUCGUAGUUGAAUUUCGGGAUCAAUAUAUCGGUCGUGCCUUGGUACGUACUGGUAUCAUUGGUUUCUCCUUUCUGACGAACCAUGAUGUCAUUAAUUUGGUGUUAUGGGAAGUUAGGACUGUUACUUUGAAAAAAUUAGAGUGUUUAAAGCAGGCUUUAGCUUGAAUACAUUAGCAUGGAAUAAUGAAAUAGGACGUUCGAACCUAUUUUGUUGGUUUCUAGGAUCAACGUAAUGAUUAAUAGGGAUAGUUGGGGGCAUUAGUAUUCAAUUGUCAGAGGUGAAAUUCUUGGAUUUAUUGAAGACUAACUACUGCGAAAGCAUUUGCCAAGGAUGUUUUCAUUAAUCAAGAACGAAAGUUAGGGGAUCGAAGACGAUCAGAUACCGUCGUAGUCUUAACCAUAAACUAUGCCGACUAGGGAUCGGAUGAUGUUAAUUUUUAAUGA
This 502-nucleotide ribosomal RNA is filed under the name uncultured Glomus. RNAcentral's name for it is "SSU rRNA". It matches the Rfam family "Eukaryotic small subunit ribosomal RNA", at positions 569 to 1074 of the family's 1831-position model. The record is from RNAcentral. Lineage: Eukaryota; Fungi; Glomeromycota; Glomeromycetes; Glomerales; Glomeraceae.